RNAcentral lists this ribosomal RNA (1315 nucleotides) under unidentified marine bacterioplankton. RNAcentral's name for it is "bacterial SSU rRNA". It matches the Rfam family "Bacterial small subunit ribosomal RNA", at positions 9 to 1371 of the family's 1533-position model. The record is from RNAcentral.
GAGUUUGAUCAUGGCUCAGAACGUACGCUGGCGGCACGCCUAACACAUGCAAGUCGAACGAAGUAGCAAUACUUAGUGGCAGACGGGUGAGUAACAUGUAGGUAUCUGCCCUUUGGCCUGGAAUAACACGAGGAAACUUGUGCUAAUACCGGAUAAGUCUUUACGGAGAAAGCUUUAUGCACCAUUGGAUGAGCCUGCACUUGAUUAGUUUGUUGGUGGGGUAAUGGCCUACCAAGACUGUGAUCAAUAGCUGAUUUGAGAGGAUGAUCAGCCACAUUGGGACUGAGACACGGCCCAAACUCCUACGGGAGGCAGCAGUGGGGAAUCUUGCACAAUGGAGGAAACUCUGAUGCAGCGAUGCCGCGUGAGUGAAGAAGGCCCUUGGGUUGUAAAGCUCUUUCGUCGGGGAAGAAAAUGACUGUACCCGAAUAAGAAGGUCCGGCUAACUUCGUGCCAGCAGCCGCGGUAAUACGAAGGGACCUAGCGUAGUUCGGAAUUACUGGGCUUAAAGAGUUCGUAGGUGGUUGAAAAAGUUAGUGGUGAAAUCCCAGAGCUUAACUCUGGAACUGCCAUUAAAACUUUUCAGCUAGAGUAUGAUAGAGGAAAGCAGAAUUUCUAGUGUAGAGGUGAAAUUCGUAGAUAUUAGAAAGAAUACCAAUUGCGAAGGCAGCUUUCUGGAUCAUUACUGACACUGAGGAACGAAAGCAUGGGUAGCGAAGAGGAUUAGAUACCCUCGUAGUCCAUGCCGUAAACGAUGUGUGUUAGACGUUGGAAAUUUAUUUUCAGUGUCGCAGGGAAACCGAUAAACACACCGCCUGGGGAGUACGACCGCAAGGUUAAAACUCAAAUGAAUUGACGGGGACCCGCACAAGUAGUGGAGCAUGUGGUUUAAUUCGAAGAUACGCGCAGAACCUUACCAACACUUGACAUGUUCGUCGCGACUCUAAGAGAUUAGAGUUUUCGGUUCGGCCGGACGAAACACAGGUGCUGCAUGGCUGUCGUCAGCUCGUGUCGUGAGAUGUUGGGUUAAGUCCCGCAACGAGCGCAACCCUCACUUUUAGUUGCCAUCAUUAAGUUGGGCACUCUGAAAGAACUGCCAGUGAUAAGCUGGAGGAAGGUGGGGAUGACGUCAAGUCCUCAUGGCCCUUACGUGUUGGGCUACACACGUGCUACAAUGGUAUCUACAACAGGAAGCAAGACUGCGAAGUCAAGCAAAUCCCUAAAAGAUACCUCAGUUCGGAUUGCACUCUGCAACUCGAGUGCAUGAAGCUGGAAUUACUAGUAAUCGUGGAUCAGCGUGCCACGGUGAAUGCGU